This is a non-coding RNA of Methanospirillum hungatei JF-1, 77 nucleotides long. Lineage: Archaea; Methanobacteriati; Methanobacteriota; Methanomicrobia; Methanomicrobiales; Methanospirillaceae. The record is from Rfam.
UUGAGCGGAUUGCGGUGAAAAUCGCACGGUCCGUUCUUGGAAGGCUGGGUUAGGGUAACCUAACCUGGCUAUUCGAC